This 701-nucleotide ribosomal RNA is filed under the name Cantharellus fistulosus. RNAcentral describes it as "LSU rRNA". It matches the Rfam family "Eukaryotic large subunit ribosomal RNA", at positions 183 to 936 of the family's 3401-position model. Lineage: Eukaryota; Fungi; Basidiomycota; Agaricomycetes; Cantharellales; Hydnaceae. The record is from RNAcentral.
UACUACCCGUCAGUGGGACAUCAUAGAGGGUGACAAUCCCGUCUUUGGUGCUGAUGUUCGAGUCCUUUACGAUGCCUAUCUCAGGAGAGUCGAGUAGUUUGGGAUUUGCUGCUUGAACAUGGGAGGUAGACACCUUCUAAAGCUAAAUAUUGGCAAGAGACCGAUAGUGGACAAGUACCGCAAGGGAAAGAUGAAAUAGCACUCUGUAAAGGGAGUCAAAAGGCGUGAAAUUGUUGCGAGAGAAGCGAUUCAAGUCAGCUUGACUAGGCCCAUGAUGACAUCCGUCCUCUGGACUAGUCUCGCCAGCGGUCUCAUCUUUAGGUUUGACUAAGGUGCGGUAUAUCCUCAACGCACGGCUGGUGGAAUGGCUUGCAAUCGACCCGUCUUGAAACACGGACCAAGGAGUCUAACAUGCAUGCAAGUAUAAGGGUGACAAACCCGUAUGCGCAAUGAAAGUGACUUUCAGUGAUUGUUGUGUGGCUUGACGACCAGACAGGAAAUAUCAUGUCCCUCGGAUGGCCACUGCCCAAGUUCUGUGGUCGAACCCAUGAACAUGGAGACGGAGCAUGCAUGCUAGGACCCGAAAGAUGGUGAACUAUGCCUGGACAGAGCGAAGCCAAAGGAAACUCUGGUGGAGGCUCGUAGCGAUUCUGACGUGCAAAUCGAUCGUCUGAUCUGGGUAUAGGGGCGAAAGACUAAUC